Molecule: long non-coding RNA, 1711 nt
Filed under: Fragaria vesca (wild strawberry)
Lineage: Eukaryota; Viridiplantae; Streptophyta; Magnoliopsida; Rosales; Rosaceae
Description: long non-coding RNA (FVES_LNC002877)
Source: RNAcentral
GGGCACAAUAACCAAACACCUGGUAUGAAAAUUAGUGAGAAAUUUGUUUUCCUAUGUAUAUAAGAAAAUACAUUAAAAAGACUAAAGAACCAAUUUUCUUCCCAUCAACUAGACGAGAUCUUAGUUUAGGUGAAGCUAGUUUCUUGGCCAUGGAGAGGAUCGUAUCGAUCACAAUGCAACGGAAAGUGGAUUAGUUAAUAAUCAGCACAACUAGAAAUAAUAAGCCGACCAAAUUAACAUAAUGGCUCAGUGCUCGCAUUAUUAGAGUUCAGUGCUCUAAUCAUUAGCCUCACGAGCUAAUUAUACACAUUCGGGGUCAGCUAACUAACAUGCAUGCAUGUAGUUUAUAUCAAUCUCAACUAGCUAGUCACGUCUAAAUUAGUGUACUUUGAGCUCGAUUACCAUAUAUAUAUAUAUAUGGGCAAAAGAUGGAAUACGCCCCCAGUCCCCAUACGCCAAAAUUGAUCCAGCCAUGUGGCUUCAGCAUAUCCACCCUUCGUCAGUAGUAAAAAAUUUCUGUUAAGGACAUAUAUGACAAAUCCCACAAUUACAUCAUGAAAAAUAUUCAAUAUUUCUGGCUUUUUGCGUCCUGUCUCCAACUAAGCUUGCAACAAUUAUAUAUAGAAUCCCAGCUGCAAUGAACUCAAGUACUUUGAGUGAUUCAAUCUCUUUUUGUCUGUUCCUUUCUAACAGCCUCAAUAAUCACUGAAGAAAUGAAGGGAAUAAGUUAUUGGUUUGUUAUAUAGCUCUUCAAGUCAUGAUUGUGUUUUUGCAACAGACUUCUUUCGCCGCAUAGAGACGCCUUCUAACCUUUAAGCCAUGCUCCUCCUCUUAUUUCCUCCAAACUUCCUCCUCGGAGGGGAAUGAUUCUCUUUGGCUAACGGUGUUGGCUUUCGGAGCUCUUCGCCGCGCUUCACGAUUUUGACCGGGCCGAUGAGGAGGAUUUGAGGAACAGGAGCCUUCUGCAAUGGGGAGGCGGAGGCUGUGGUGUUGUUGACUUGUUGGGACGGGCCGGCUUGUGUUGUUGUCGGUCUGGGGACUGGCGGCCGAAGAGAGAGAGAGAGAGAGAGAGAGGCUAGAGAGGAGGUCUGGGUUAGGGGUUAAGUACGUGAGAGAGAGAGAGAGGCAGAGAGGCUGUUAAGAGUCUGAGAGAGAGAGAGAGAGAGGCUGUGGGGUUAAGGGUCUAAGAGAAGAGAGAGAGGGGUUGUGGGGUGAGGAUUUUUUGCGAUCUGACAUAAAUGACCUUAAAAUUUAACUGUAAAAAUGAUAUUUACUGUAAUCGUAGUUAAUUAUUAAUUUUACUUAUUUACCCUUUAGUUUUAAAUUAGAUGGCUGAUAUAAUGCCACGUGGCAAGGCCCUACUUCGUUGUACACUACGCCCGUGUAUUUCAGCGCUUUCCAUAUAUAUGGGCCACUAUCAUAACAUGCAAAUCCGGAUCCCCGUCAUGAUUCAUAUAUAUAUAUAUAUAUACACGAUCUUUAAAUUUGAUAAAUUUUGUAAAAUGAUCUAUGCAUUAGGUUCUACAAACUGAACGGUAAAGAUGUGAAAAUAUGACAAAAAAAUGAGUCAAAUAUGAAACUUCACACUUUAAUUUCAAAACGAAAGUUUACUAUUCUGAAUAGAACCCUGCUCUGUGUGUGUAUAUAUAUAUAUAUAUAUAUUUAUAUAUAUCCAUAGUUAAGUGUUCAUAUGGGGCUCAUUAGAUGUUCG